GAACGCUGGCGGCAGGCCUAACACAUGCAAGUCGAGCGGUAGCACAGAGAGCUUGCUCUCGGGUGACGAGCGGCGGACGGGUGAGUAAUGUCUGGGAAACUGCCUGAUGGAGGGGGAUAACUACUGGAAACGGUAGCUAAUACCGCAUAACGUCGCAAGACCAAAGUGGGGGACCUUCGGGCCUCAUGCCAUCAGAUGUGCCCAGAUGGGAUUAGCUAGUAGGUGGGGUAACGGCUCACCUAGGCGACGAUCCCUAGCUGGUCUGAGAGGAUGACCAGCCACACUGGAACUGAGACACGGUCCAGACUCCUACGGGAGGCAGCAGUGGGGAAUAUUGCACAAUGGGCGCAAGCCUGAUGCAGCCAUGCCGCGUGUGUGAAGAAGGCCUUCGGGUUGUAAAGCACUUUCAGCGGGGAGGAAGGCGUUAAGGUUAAUAACCUUGGCGAUUGACGUUACCCGCAGAAGAAGCACCGGCUAACUCCGUGCCAGCAGCCGCGGUAAUACGGAGGGUGCAAGCGUUAAUCGGAAUUACUGGGCGUAAAGCGCACGCAGGCGGUCUGUCAAGUCGGAUGUGAAAUCCCCGGGCUCAACCUGGGAACUGCAUUCGAAACUGGCAGGCUAGAGUCUUGUAGAGGGGGGUAGAAUUCCAGGUGUAGCGGUGAAAUGCGUAGAGAUCUGGAGGAAUACCGGUGGCGAAGGCGGCCCCCUGGACAAAGACUGACGCUCAGGUGCGAAAGCGUGGGGAGCAAACAGGAUUAGAUACCCUGGUAGUCCACGCCGUAAACGAUGUCGAUUUGGAGGUUGUGCCCUUGAGGCGUGGCUUCCGGAGCUAACGCGUUAAAUCGACCGCCUGGGGAGUACGGCCGCAAGGUUAAAACUCAAAUGAAUUGACGGGGGCCCGCACAAGCGGUGGAGCAUGUGGUUUAAUUCGAUGCAACGCGAAGAACCUUACCUGGUCUUGACAUCCACAGAACUUUCCAGAGAUGGAUUGGUGCCUUCGGGAACUGUGAGACAGGUGCUGCAUGGCUGUCGUCAGCUCGUGUUGUGAAAUGUUGGGUUAAGUCCCGCAACGAGCGCAACCCUUAUCCUUUGUUGCCAGCGGUUCGGCCGGGAACUCAAAGGAGACUGCCAGUGAUAAACUGGAGGAAGGUGGGGAUGACGUCAAGUCAUCAUGGCCCUUACGACCAGGGCUACACACGUGCUACAAUGGCAUAUACAAAGAGAAGCGACCUCGCGAGAGCAAGCGGACCUCAUAAAGUAUGUCGUAGUCCGGAUUGGAGUCUGCAACUCGACUCCAUGAAGUCGGAAUCGCUAGUAAUCGUAGAUCAGAAUGCUACGGUGAAUACGUUCCCGGGCCUUGUACACACCGCCCGUCACACCAUGGGAGUGGGUUGCAAAAGAAGUAGGUAGCUUAACCUUCGGGAGGGCGCUUACCACUUUGUGAUUCAUGACUGGGGC
Molecule: ribosomal RNA, 1458 nt
Filed under: uncultured organism
Description: SSU rRNA
Rfam family: Bacterial small subunit ribosomal RNA
Source: RNAcentral